AGUCCACAUCGACGGGGAGGUUUGGCACCUCGAUGUCGGCUCAUCACAUCCUGGGGCUGUAGUAGGUCCCAAGGGUUGGGCUGUUCGCCCAUUAAAGUGGUACGCGAGCUGGGUUCAGAACGUCGUGAGACAGUUCGGUCCCUAUCCGUCGCAGGCGUAGGAAAUUUGAGAAGACCUGUCCUUAGUACGAGAGGACCGGGAUGGACGUACCUCUGGUGUACCAGUUGUCCUGCCAAGGGCAUGGCUGGGUAGCUAUGUACGGAAUGGAUAAGCGCUGAAAGCAUCUAAGCGCGAAGCCAACUUCAAGAUAAGAUUUCCCACCGCAAGGGUAAGACCCCAGAAAGACUAUCUGGUUGAUAGGUCGAAGGUGUAAGUGUAGCAAUGUAUUUAGCUUAUCGAUACUAAUAGGUCGAGGACUUGACCAAU
This 426-nucleotide ribosomal RNA is filed under the name Clostridioides difficile. Its description in RNAcentral is "bacterial LSU rRNA". It matches the Rfam family "Bacterial large subunit ribosomal RNA", at positions 2497 to 2925 of the family's 2925-position model. Lineage: Bacteria; Bacillati; Bacillota; Clostridia; Peptostreptococcales; Peptostreptococcaceae. The record is from RNAcentral.